RNAcentral lists this long non-coding RNA (578 nucleotides) under Ananas comosus (pineapple). RNAcentral describes it as "long non-coding RNA (ACOM_LNC016557)". The record is from RNAcentral. Lineage: Eukaryota; Viridiplantae; Streptophyta; Magnoliopsida; Poales; Bromeliaceae.
UCUUACCCUCGGUCUUGCGAGUAGGGGUGGCAAUCCAGCUCGCUGUUCGUGAGUCAGCUCGUAUUCGGCUCGAAAUGAACUCAAGAUCGAAUCACUCGUUUAGUAAACGAGCCGAACACGAGUUGAAUUUUUCGGCUCGUUUAAUAAACGAGUCGAACACGAGUUGGGGUCAGCUCGCUCAUGUUUGACUCGAUAACAGCUCGAAUACAUAUAUUUUAUAUUUAUAUAAUUUAUUUAAUUUAUUUUUUUAUAUGUAAAUAAAUAAUUAUAUAUAAUAUAUAUUUUUAUUAUUUAAUUUUUAGCAAAAUAAAAAUAUAAAUGCGAGAUUAAUUAUAAAAAGACUCAUUUAUAUGUAAAGUUUUAACUAUUAGAUCAAAGUUUAAUGAAUAAGAUUUUAUAAAUUUAUUUUUCAUAUAUAUUCAAUCUAAUUAUUUUUAACUUAUUGUUUGUUAGCCAGCUCGUGAGCCAGCUCGUGUUCGGCUCGUUUAUUAACGAGUUGAACACGAGUUGAAUUUUUUUAACGAGUCAGCUCGUGUUUGGCUUGUUUACACCCCUACUUGAGAGAAUAUUUUGAAGAA